GACGAACGCUGGCGGCGUGCCUAAUACAUGCAAGUAGAACGCUGAAGGAGGAGCUUGCUUCUCCGGAUGAGUUGCGAACGGGUGAGUAACGCGUAGGUAACCUGCCUGGUAGCGGGGGAUAACUAUUGGAAACGAUAGCUAAUACCGCAUAAGGGUAGAUGUUGCAUGACAUUUGCUUAAAAGGUGCAAUUGCAUCACUACCAGAUGGACCUGCGUUGUAUUAGCUAGUUGGUGAGGUAACGGCUCACCAAGGCGACGAUACAUAGCCGACCUGAGAGGGUGAUCGGCCACACUGGGACUGAGACACGGCCCAGACUCCUACGGGAGGCAGCAGUAGGGAAUCUUCGGCAAUGGACGGAAGUCUGACCGAGCAACGCCGCGUGAGUGAAGAAGGUUGUCGGAUCGUAAAGCUCUGUUGUAAGAGAAGAACGAGUGUGAGAGUGGAAAGUUCACACUGUGACGGUAUCUUACCAGAAAGGGACGGCUAACUACGUG
This 495-nucleotide ribosomal RNA is filed under the name uncultured bacterium. Its description in RNAcentral is "partial 16S ribosomal RNA". It matches the Rfam family "Bacterial small subunit ribosomal RNA", at positions 28 to 507 of the family's 1533-position model. The record is from RNAcentral.